This is a long non-coding RNA of Rhipicephalus microplus (southern cattle tick), 959 nucleotides long. The record is from RefSeq and is a predicted model, not a curated record. NCBI's taxonomy places the organism in Eukaryota, Metazoa, Arthropoda, Arachnida, Ixodida, Ixodidae.
GGUAGCCACUCCGUGGUCUCUUCGGUAACUUGAGCAUCUCGGGUGAGUGGCAGCCGAAUUUGGAAUCCGCACGCAUCUGGUGGUUUCAACGGCAACAGAAUACAUGCUUGAAUCUUUUCAUCUGUCGAUCGUGAUUGCCGCGAUGAAGAGACAUCAGUAUUGUCAUGGCAAACAUACCAGACUGUUUGAACAUCACGUCACCUGACAGUCGCCGCCGAGCAGAUAAACUACCAUGCGUAUGAACAAAACAGAGUGGAGCAAUAGCAAAUUCAUUGCCAAGGAAACACCAUGAGGAUAACUUGAAAGGAGUGCAGAUAUGCACGAGUUCGCAAUAGUGGAAAUCCUUAAGGCUGCUAAGCACUCCUGAGAAUACCAUCAAUCAGCUAUUAGCCCUAUGCUACCACAAUAAAUGGAUGACUGUGUAACUAAGGGUUGCUGCAAAAGCACCGUAGGCAGAAUAAGUUGGCAUCAUACUCUACGCAAGCAUGACCAUCCUUUCUGUGAAGGGGUUCAAUGAAAAUAGACUGCCAUGGAUGUGUGGAAACCUGUUGGUGAGCUCGUUGGCCCGCUUUGUCAUCUGCAUUCUUGCUCAGAUACAUCUCCGAGAACUAAGCAGUGCCAUGAAAGUCCAGUACUUCACUGAAGAUCCUGUCUUUGCAAAGAAUCCUGGCGGUUCUCGAAGGUGCAUCGGGCUCAAUUUAUACAAGCAUUUCGGAGGCUGACUGACGAGGAGUGCGUGGAGGUGUUUCCUAGUCAUCGGGAGAGGUGGCGUGUCCGGACUGUGGUUGGGGCCUUGGAGGCUUAUCCAACGCAGACCAUCCGUGGCAUGGCUAGGCUCAUUGGCAUGUCUAAGACCCGUGUAUAUGAGACACUGAGAGACGCUUUUUCCAAGCUGGAAAAUUAUUGUCUUAAUUGAGGGGUUGCUAUUGUUGCCAAAAAUGUAAAUAAAAGAUGCAGAG